This 359-nucleotide unclassified non-coding RNA is filed under the name soil metagenome. Its description in RNAcentral is "partial contains 5.8S ribosomal RNA, internal transcribed spacer 2, and large subunit ribosomal RNA". The stretch from base 1 to 120 matches the Rfam family "5.8S ribosomal RNA", at positions 35 to 154 of the family's 154-position model. The record is from RNAcentral.
GAUGAAGAACGUAGCGAAAUGCGAUAAGUAAUGUGAAUUGCAGAAUUCAGUGAAUCAUCGAAUCUUUGAACGCACAUUGCGCCCGUCAGUAUUCUGGCGGGCAUGCCUGUUCGAGCGUCAUUACGCCCCUCAAGUCCCCUGUGGACUUGGUGUUGGGGAUCGGCGAGGCUGGUUUUCCAGCACAGCCGUCCCUUAAAUUAAUUGGCGGUCUCGCCGUGGCCCUCCUCUGCGCAGUAGUAAAACACUCGCAACAGGAGCCCGGCGCGGUCCACUGCCGUAAAACCCCCCAACUUUUUAUAGUUGACCUCGAAUCAGGUAGGACUACCCGCUGAACUUAAGCAUAUCAAUAAGCCGGAGGA